GAAAAACCUUGUUGUUAAUCAGGCACAAGUAAAUAGCCAGAGAUGGAGCCAGAAGGGAAUGGAUUUGGGCGAUAAUCAGCCAAUGGCACACAAAGAGCAGUGGGAGAAAAUCGAUAAACGUCUUCAAGAAGUAAAUGCGCAUUUUUAUCACCAACUGUCACACACGAAACAAACAGAGCGUUGUAUGAAGUCUCCCGUUCGUCUGCCUGGUUUCUCGUCAUCGCUGUUCGUCUGCCUGGUUUCUCGUCAUCGCUGUUCGUCUGCCUGGUUUCUCGUCAUCGCUGUUCGUCUGCCUGGUUUCUCGUCAUCGCUGUUCGUCUGACCCUGGAACCCCGUCCACUCUUCACCACCGGAUGCCACUACUCACCACCACGGACUGCUCAUCUCAGGCCUGUGUCACGCUCUCCUGCUGCCUCACCUCACCGCCACUUACGGGAUCACCGUCAGUCAUCACCGCGACCAUCUGUUGUUCCCCCUGGAUUUAUUUGUAUACCGG
Molecule: long non-coding RNA, 496 nt
Organism: Cyprinus carpio carpio
Lineage: Eukaryota; Metazoa; Chordata; Actinopteri; Cypriniformes; Cyprinidae
Source: Ensembl